UGUAAUAGUCAGAACGUAAAAAACAGACUUUAAGAGGGAAAGUGCAACAUUUUUACCUCAGCAUGUGUCACAGGAAACCAGUGCUGUCCGUCUCCUACCUACAUGUGUCACAGUGAAGCGCCACUACUGCGCUUUUCAACGGAGAAGCAACGAAAAAUAUCAUUUAGAAAGUAGGAAGUGUCCGAAGCCCGCAGGAAAGCGCGGGACCGAGCCUGGCAUCCGGCGCUCCGGGUACCGGGGACGCGCUCCUCCUCGAGCCGUCCUGGAGGCUCGCUCUCCCGGGCUCCAGCCCCGCUCUGCCUGCCCACCCGCCCGUCGCUCUGAUUGAUUACAGUCAGCAGCCAAUGGCUUCCACAUCGCACCCCCUGGCUUUUUAUAGAGCUCCCCUGCCCACCGUCACUCGUCGUGCUCGACUCCUCCGGGGGGCACGCGGCCGCGGCUCCGGCAUGAUGAACAGUCAGUACCACGGGUUGUGGUGAGCCAGAGCCUAACCCGGCAACACAGGGCGUAAGGCUGGAGGGGGA
Molecule: long non-coding RNA, 524 nt
Filed under: Scleropages formosus (Asian bonytongue)
Lineage: Eukaryota; Metazoa; Chordata; Actinopteri; Osteoglossiformes; Osteoglossidae
Description: lncRNA (ENSSFOG00015030448.1)
Source: RNAcentral